UCCCGGACUGGUGUCUUCUCAUCCUUUGCAAGAGGUACACAUACCGGGACAAGUAUCCCCUCAAUCUACCCAGCAUGGAGUGAACUGAAUGCCUCUCUCAGAAGGAGGGGGAAAAAGAGAGAGUUACUGAAAUAAUUUCUGCCAAGGGAAACGGACCCGCAAUGGAGGCGCACUCAAAGCCGGGGAGGAGCGCGCCUGGACCUGGCGAGCUAGCACACCAAGGCCCCAACCUGGAGUGGAAGGGGACAGGCUACGAGCAGCCCUGGUCUGUGGGAAACGACAGAAGACAAUUGGGCAUCAAGAAGAAUUCUAACAAAAGGCUUUGCUAAGUUUCCACCAAUUUAUAACAAUUAUCUCAUACUCUUAAACUUAUCAUAUUCCUCCACAACUGUUCACUCUUCAUCAAGCCUAAUGAAGAAUUAUGCAUGUCUAUCUAUAUAUUUUGAGCCUUCAUUUACUUGUUAAAGCAUCCAUGUGAUAUGGAAUGUAUAUUAAAUAAAUGUGAUUUGCU
Suricata suricatta (meerkat) is the source of this 511-nucleotide long non-coding RNA. RefSeq lists it as uncharacterized. The transcript has 3 exons. The record is from RefSeq and is a predicted model, not a curated record. Lineage: Eukaryota; Metazoa; Chordata; Mammalia; Carnivora; Herpestidae.